This 698-nucleotide ribosomal RNA is filed under the name Flavobacterium sp. A24MG3. Its description in RNAcentral is "bacterial SSU rRNA". It matches the Rfam family "Bacterial small subunit ribosomal RNA", at positions 112 to 809 of the family's 1533-position model. The record is from RNAcentral. Lineage: Bacteria; Pseudomonadati; Bacteroidota; Flavobacteriia; Flavobacteriales; Flavobacteriaceae.
AACGCGUAUGCAUCUACCUUUUACAGAGGGAUAGCCCAGAGAAAUUUGGAUUAAUACCUCAUAGUAUAUAAACUCGGCAUUAAGAUUAUAUUAAAGUCACAACGGUAAAAGAUGAGCAUGCGUCCCAUUAGCUAGUUGGUAAGGUAACGGCUUACCAAGGCUACGAUGGGUAGGGGUCCUGAGAGGGAGAUCCCCCACACUGGUACUGAGACACGGACCAGACUCCUACGGGAGGCAGCAGUGAGGAAUAUUGGACAAUGGGCGCAAGCCUGAUCCAGCCAUGCCGCGUGCAGGAUGACGGUCCUAUGGAUUGUAAACUGCUUUUAUACGAGAAGAAACACUCCUUCGUGAAGGAGCUUGACGGUAUCGUAAGAAUAAGGAUCGGCUAACUCCGUGCCAGCAGCCGCGGUAAUACGGAGGAUCCAAGCGUUAUCCGGAAUCAUUGGGUUUAAAGGGGCCGUAGGCGGUUUAAUAAGUCAGUGGUGAAAGCCCAUCGCUCAACGGUGGAACGGCCAUUGAUACUGUUAGACUUGAAUUAUUAGGAAGUAACUAGAAUAUGUAGUGUAGCGGUGAAAUGCUUAGAGAUUACAUGGAAUACCAAUUGCGAAGGCAGGUUACUACUAAUUGAUUGACGCUGAUGGACGAAAGCGUGGGUAGCGAACAGGAUUAGAUACCCUGGUAGUCCACGCCGUAAACGA